AGUGAACGCUGGCGGCGUGCUUAACACAUGCAAGUCGAACGAGAACGGGAUAUAGCUUGCUAUAUUUGUCAGCUAAGUGGCGCACGGGUGAGUAAUGUAUAGAUAACCUGCCCUCUAGAAAGGAAUAACAGUUGGAAACGACUGCUAAUGCCCUAUAUGCCUUUAAUACAUAAGUAUGCAAGGGAAACGCUUUAGUGCUAGAGGAUGGGUCUGUAUGGUAUCAGCUUGUUGGUGAGGUAAUGGCUCACCAAGGCUAUGACGCCUAACUGGUUUGAGAGGACGAUCAGUCACACUGGACCUGAGACACGGUCCAGACUCCUACGGGAGGCAGCAGUGGGGAAUAUUGCACAAUGGACGAAAGUCUGAUGCAGCAACGCCGCGUGGAGGAUGACACAUUUCGGUGCGUAAACUCCUUUUAUAUAGGAAGAUAAUGACGGUACUAUAUGAAUAAGCACCGGCUAACUCCGUGCCAGCCGCCGCGGUAA
This 485-nucleotide ribosomal RNA is filed under the name uncultured bacterium. RNAcentral's name for it is "partial 16S ribosomal RNA". It matches the Rfam family "Bacterial small subunit ribosomal RNA", at positions 29 to 523 of the family's 1533-position model. The record is from RNAcentral.